RNAcentral lists this ribosomal RNA (301 nucleotides) under uncultured bacterium. RNAcentral describes it as "partial 16S ribosomal RNA". It matches the Rfam family "Bacterial small subunit ribosomal RNA", at positions 509 to 807 of the family's 1533-position model. The record is from RNAcentral.
CAGUAGCCGCGGGAAUACGAAGGGGGCUAGCGUUGUUCGGAAUUACUGGGCGUAAAGCGCGUGUAGGCGGGUCCUUAAGUCAGGGGUGAAAUGCCAAGGCUCAACCUUGGAACUGCCUUUGAUACUGGGGAUCUUGAGUCCGGGAGAGGUGAGUGGAACUGCGAGUGUAGAGGUGAAAUUCGUAGAUAUUCGCAAGAACACCAGUGGCGAAGGCGGCUCACUGGCCCGGAACUGACGCUGAGACGCGAAAGCGUGGGGAGCAAACAGGAUUAGAUACCCGCGUAGUCCCUGUCUCUUAUAC